UCUAGAACUUCAGAUAUGGGCCGAACACUGAACAGUGUCUGGGCUGCAGGACAGAUUCUGACUUCUCCGUUGUUGCUAACAUUUGGACUUCCUGGCAGCAGAAUUGAGUCUUGGAUUCCUAUGAAUGUUUUAGGCCUAUGUCUUAGCUUUCUAGC
Populus trichocarpa (black cottonwood) is the source of this 155-nucleotide non-coding RNA. NCBI's taxonomy places the organism in Eukaryota, Viridiplantae, Streptophyta, Magnoliopsida, Malpighiales, Salicaceae. The record is from Rfam.